RNAcentral lists this transfer RNA (73 nucleotides) under Jatrophihabitans sp. RNAcentral describes it as "tRNA-Leu". It matches the Rfam family "tRNA". From Rfam's summary of the family: Transfer RNA (tRNA) molecules are approximately 80 nucleotides in length. Their secondary structure includes four short double-helical elements and three loops (D, anti-codon, and T loops). Further hydrogen bonds mediate the characteristic L-shaped molecular structure. tRNAs have two regions of fundamental functional importance: the anti-codon, which is responsible for specific mRNA codon recognition, and the 3' end, to which the tRNAs corresponding amino acid is attached (by aminoacyl-tRNA synthetases). tRNAs cope with the degeneracy of the genetic code in two manners: having more than one tRNA (with a specific anti-codon) for a particular amino acid; and 'wobble' base-pairing, i.e. permitting non-standard base-pairing at the 3rd anti-codon position. Lineage: Bacteria; Bacillati; Actinomycetota; Actinomycetes; Jatrophihabitantales; Jatrophihabitantaceae. The record is from RNAcentral.
GGGGCCGUAGCCCAACGGCAGAGGCGACGGCUUUAGGUGCCGUUCAGUGCGGGUUCGAAUCCCGCCGGCCCCA